UUAAAUGGCUGCAGUAAUUUGACUGUACAAAGGUAGCAUAAUCAUUAGUUUUUUAAUUAAAAGCUUGAAUGAAAGGUUGAACGAAGUAAAAUCUGUCUCUUUUAAAUAAGAUUAGAAUUUAAUUUUUAAGUUAAAAAGCUUAAAUUUUUAUAAAAGACGAGAAGACCCUAUAGAGUUUAAUAAUUUUUUUAGAAAUAAUUAAUUUAGUUUUAUUACUUUUAUUUUUUUAGAAUUAUUUUAUUGGGGUAAUAGUAAGAUUAAAAUAAUUCUUUUUUUUUUAUCAUUAAUUUAUGAAAUAUAUGAUCCAUUAUUGUUAUGAUUAUAAG
This 326-nucleotide ribosomal RNA is filed under the name Aphaenops sp. MNHN AF42. RNAcentral's name for it is "partial 16S ribosomal RNA". The record is from RNAcentral. Lineage: Eukaryota; Metazoa; Arthropoda; Insecta; Coleoptera; Carabidae.